GGAGCUUGCUCCUUUGACGUUAGCGGCGGACGGGUGAGUAACACGUGGGUAACCUACCUAUAAGACUGGGAUAACUUCGGGAAACCGGAGCUAAUACCGGAUAACAUUUGGAACCGCAUGGUUCUAAAGUGAAAGAUGGUUUUGCUAUCACUUAUAGAUGGACCCGCGCCGUAUUAGCUAGUUGGUAAGGUAACGGCUUACCAAGGCAACGAUACGUAGCCGACCUGAGAGGGUGAUCGGCCACACUGGAACUGAGACACGGUCCAGACUCCUACGGGAGGCAGCAGUAGGGAAUCUUCCGCAAUGGGCGAAAGCCUGACGGAGCAACGCCGCGUGAGUGAUGAAGGGUUUCGGCUCGUAAAACUCUGUUAUUAGGGAAGAACAAAUGUGUAAGUAACUGUGCACAUCUUGACGGUACCUAAUCAGAAAGCCACGGCUAACUACGUGCCAGCAGCCGCGGUAAUACGUAGGUGGCAAGCGUUAUCCGGAAUUAUUGGGCGUAAAGCGCGCGUAGGCGGUUUCUUAAGUCUGAUGUGAAAGCCCACGGCUCAACCGUGGAGGGUCAUUGGAAACUGGGAAACUUGAGUGCAGAAGAGGAAAGUGGAAUUCCAUGUGUAGCGGUGAAAUGCGCAGAGAUAUGGAGGAACACCAGUGGCGAAGGCGACUUUCUGGUCUGUAACUGACGCUGAUGUGCGAAAGCGUGGGGAUCAAACAGGAUUAGAUACCCUGGUAGUCCACGCCGUAAACGAUGAGUGCUAAGUGUUAGGGGGUUUCCGCCCCUUAGUGCUGCAGCUAACGCAUUAAGCACUCCGCCUGGGGAGUACGACCGCAAGGUUGAAACUCAAAGGAAUUGACGGGGACCCGCACAAGCGGUGGAGCAUGUGGUUUAAUUCGAAGCAACGCGAAGAACCUUACCAAAUCUUGACAUCCUUUGAAAACUCUAGAGAUAGAGCCUUCCCCUUCGGGGGACAAAGUGACAGGUGGUGCAUGGUUGUCGUCAGCUCGUGUCGUGAGAUGUUGGGUUAAGUCCCGCAACGAGCGCAACCCUUAAGCUUAGUUGCCAUCAUUAAGUUGGGCACUCUAGGUUGACUGCCGGUGACAAACCGGAGGAAGGUGGGGAUGACGUCAAAUCAUCAUGCCCCUUAUGAUUUGGGCUACACACGUGCUACAAUGGACAAUACAAAGGGCAGCUAAACCGCGAGGUCAUGCAAAUCCCAUAAAGUUGUUCUCAGUUCGGAUUGUAGUCUGCAACUCGACUACAUGAAGCUGGAAUCGCUAGUAAUCGUAGAUCAGCAUGCUACGGUGAAUACGUUCCCGGGUCUUGUACACACCGCCCGUCACACCACGAGAGUUUGUAACACCCGAAGCCGGUGGAGUAACCAUUUAUGGAGCUAGCCGUC
Molecule: ribosomal RNA, 1400 nt
Filed under: Staphylococcus saccharolyticus
Lineage: Bacteria; Bacillati; Bacillota; Bacilli; Caryophanales; Staphylococcaceae
Description: bacterial SSU rRNA
Rfam family: Bacterial small subunit ribosomal RNA
Source: RNAcentral